This 498-nucleotide ribosomal RNA is filed under the name uncultured bacterium. RNAcentral's name for it is "partial 16S ribosomal RNA". It matches the Rfam family "Bacterial small subunit ribosomal RNA", at positions 30 to 523 of the family's 1533-position model. The record is from RNAcentral.
AUUGAACGCUGGCGGCAUGCCUUACGCAUGCAAGUCGAACGGUAACAGGUCUUCGGAUGCUGACGAGUGGCGAACGGGUGAGUAAUACAUCGGAACGUGCCUAGUAGUGGGGGAUAACUACUCGAAAGAGUGGCUAAUACCGCAUGAGAUCUACGGAUGAAAGCAGGGGAUCGCAAGACCUUGUGCUACUAGAGCGGCCGAUGGCAGAUUAGGUAGUUGGUGGGAUAAAAGCUUACCAAGCCGACGAUCUGUAGCUGGUCUGAGAGGACGAUCAGCCACACUGGGACUGAGACACGGCCCAGACUCCUACGGGGGGCAGCAGUGGGGAAUUUUGGACAAUGGGCGCAAGCCUGAUCCAGCAAUGCCGCGUGCAGGAUGAAGGCCUUCGGGUUGUAAACUGCUUUUGUACGGAACGAAAAGCCCUGGGUUAAUACCCUGGGGUCAUGACGGUACCGUAAGAAUAAGCACCGGCUAACUACGUGCCAGCCGCCGCCGUAA